GAGUUUGAUCAUGGCUCAGGACGAACGCUGGCGGCGUGCUUAACACAUGCAAGUCGAACGGAAAGGCCCUGCUUUUGUGGGGUGCUCGAGUGGCGAACGGGUGAGUAACACGUGAGUAACCUGCCCUUGACUUUGGGAUAACUUCAGGAAACUGGGGCUAAUACCGGAUAGGAGCUCCUGCUGCAUGGUGGGGGUUGGAAAGUUUCGGCGGUUGGGGAUGGACUCGCGGCUUAUCAGCUUGUUGGUGGGGUAGUGGCUUACCAAGGCUUUGACGGGUAGCCGGCCUGAGAGGGUGACCGGCCACAUUGGGACUGAGAUACGGCCCAGACUCCUACCGGGAGGCAGCAGUGGGGAAUAUUGCACAAUGGGCGGAAGCCUGAUGCAGCAACGCCGCGUGCGGGAUGACGGCC
RNAcentral lists this ribosomal RNA (410 nucleotides) under uncultured microorganism. RNAcentral describes it as "bacterial SSU rRNA". It matches the Rfam family "Bacterial small subunit ribosomal RNA", at positions 9 to 416 of the family's 1533-position model. The record is from RNAcentral.